Molecule: ribosomal RNA, 497 nt
Filed under: Malassezia globosa
Lineage: Eukaryota; Fungi; Basidiomycota; Malasseziomycetes; Malasseziales; Malasseziaceae
Description: partial large subunit ribosomal RNA
Rfam family: Eukaryotic large subunit ribosomal RNA
Source: RNAcentral
UGAAGCUGGCACCUCCGGUGUCCGCGUUGUAAUCUCGAGACGUGUUUUCCGUGCGGCUCUAUGGACAAGUCCCUUGGAAUAGGGCAUCGUAGAGGGUGAGAAUCCCGUACUUGCCAUGGAAGACCGGGGGUUGCACACAGGUCUAAAGUCGAUUGUUGGGGAUUGCGCCCCAAAAUGGGGGGGGAGUCCCAAAAAAUUGCAAGAGUAGAAGGUACCCAAUGGCCAAACCAAGUACCGUGAGGGAAAAAAUGAAAAAGCACUUUGGAAAGAGAGUCAUCCGUGUAAAAAUUUGACGGGGGGAGAAACCCUUGAAAGUCAGGCAUGCUGCUUGAGACUCAGCCCGGGCCUUUGGGGUUUGGUGUAUUUCCUGGGUGGGCAAGCCAGCAUUGGGUUUGGGUCGUCGGAAAAACCCCAAAGGGAAAUGUAACGUCUCCGGACGUGUAAAACCCUUAUUGCAGGAUCCCACGACCCUGGAUUCAGGGGACCGCAGGGGGCCC